GUUCUUGUAGCUUAUGCAAAGCAUGGCACUGAAGAUGCCAAGAUGGUCGUUACACUCACCCAAGAACA
Molecule: transfer RNA, 68 nt
Filed under: Minla ignotincta (red-tailed minla)
Lineage: Eukaryota; Metazoa; Chordata; Aves; Passeriformes; Leiothrichidae
Also listed under: 1 other name
Description: tRNA-Phe
Rfam family: tRNA
About the family: Transfer RNA (tRNA) molecules are approximately 80 nucleotides in length. Their secondary structure includes four short double-helical elements and three loops (D, anti-codon, and T loops). Further hydrogen bonds mediate the characteristic L-shaped molecular structure. tRNAs have two regions of fundamental functional importance: the anti-codon, which is responsible for specific mRNA codon recognition, and the 3' end, to which the tRNAs corresponding amino acid is attached (by aminoacyl-tRNA synthetases). tRNAs cope with the degeneracy of the genetic code in two manners: having more than one tRNA (with a specific anti-codon) for a particular amino acid; and 'wobble' base-pairing, i.e. permitting non-standard base-pairing at the 3rd anti-codon position.
Source: RNAcentral